GACGAACGCUGGCUGCGGGCUUAACACAUGCAAGUCGCACGGCAACGCCCUGCUUGUUUGGGGUGCUCGAGUGGCGAACGGGUGAGUAACACUUGAGUAACCUGCCCUUGACUUUGGCAUCACUUCAGGAAACUGGGGCUAAUACCGGAUCGGUGCUCCUUCUGUUUGGUGGGUGUUGGAAAGUUUCGGCGGUUGGGGAUGGACUCGCGGCUUAUCAGCUUGUUGGUGGGGUAGUGGCUUACCAAGGCUUUGACGGGUAGCCGGCCUGAGAGGGUGACCGGCAAAAGUGGGACAGAGAUACGGCCGAGAGUACUAAGGGAGGCAGCAGUGGGGAAGAAUGCACAAUGGGCGGAAGCAUGAUGCAGCAACGCCGCGUGAGGGAUGACGGCCUUCGGGUAGGAAACCGUUAACGCCUGUGACGAAGCGUGAGUGAAGGUAAUGGGUAAAGAAGCACCGGCUAACUACGUG
This 468-nucleotide ribosomal RNA is filed under the name uncultured bacterium. RNAcentral's name for it is "partial 16S ribosomal RNA". It matches the Rfam family "Bacterial small subunit ribosomal RNA", at positions 28 to 507 of the family's 1533-position model. The record is from RNAcentral.